UACGGGGGGGGCAAGCGUUGUUCGGAAUUACUGGGCGUAAAGGGCUCGUAGGCGGCCAACUAAGUCGGACGUGAAAUCCCCAGGCUCAACCUGGGAACUGCGUCCGAUACUGGAUGGCUUGAAUCCGGGAGAGGGAUGCAGAAUUCCAGGUGUAGCGGUGAAAUGCGUAGAUAUCGGGAGGAACACCUGUGGCGAAAGCGGCUCACUGGACCAUUACUGACGCUGAUGCACGAAAGCUAGGGGAGCAAACAGG
Molecule: ribosomal RNA, 253 nt
Filed under: uncultured bacterium
Lineage: Bacteria
Description: partial 16S ribosomal RNA
Rfam family: Bacterial small subunit ribosomal RNA
Source: RNAcentral